AUGGCGCCGGACCACCCCUCAAAAAAAAAGAUGGCGCCGGACCUAAAGGCGAAGGGAACUAGCGACGCAUUCGUGCUAAGCGAGGAGCUCUAUGGGGCCGCAAAGUUGAUGCAGCAGAGUGUUAGCCAGAUCGAGUUGAAAUCCGAUCUGUUCGAUGUGUCGGAAAGGAUCUCACGCCUGGCCGGUCCCGAGAUCCAGGCCCAGAGCAAGGUCGGCGAGGAUGCGGCGGCUGCGCUGCCCGAUCCGGCCGCCAAGGAGGAGACCCAGGAGACGAUUGUUGGUCAGGCAGACAACCCGUUCCUCUGGCAGUCCAAACCCAAAUUCAUCAUUGGCAUAUUGUCAAAGAUCCAAGAAGACGUCGGCGACGUCGCUUCGGUGCUCGAAGCAGAAAGGACGAGGAAGGAGGCGGCGGCAGCGCUAAGCUUUGCCUUCAGGUUAGAGCUGUGCUGCAAGCGGAUCGACGAGCUGUGGCGCGAGAUGCACGAAAUACUGAGAUCGUUCUCGGCGGAGAAGAAAGAUCUUGUUAAGACCAUGACCAUGUUUACUUCUGAGCCGUGCGUGCACCGCAUCGCCAAGCUGAAACGGAUCUCUGAGCGUAUCACCACGCUCCGGCGGUUGGACCCAGGUCUUGACUCCAAAGUGAAAUCAACGCUCGUCCGGUUGAAAUCGGAAUCCUUCUUAUCCGCCAUGGAGGGCGAGAGCGAAGGUGUUGGGAGGAGACGGAGCCAAAUCUUCCGCGGAGAUGGACAAAUCUCUAACGCAUGCUUCGAUGGGCGGUGUGCAGCGUUAUUGAGCCCCAUGCAAUAUACACAUUGCACACCAGGCCGCAUCCCCGUUGACGCUGUUGCGGGGAGCACCUUGCAGAUCAACUCCAUCAAAGUCUCUGCAGUAGAAGAACUCGGGCAUUCACCGGAGGUGUAUGGAGUGGAUCCUUUUUUGCAAUUGACUGGGCCAGUACGUGCGAUUGUGUCGACGGAUACUGUUUACAUUGAAAUCCUACUAAAAGUAAAGGACGAAACAAAAUCUGAGGAUAGAGCAUUGAUCAGUACAUUCUACCUUUAUAAUGCUGAGCAACAUGGAAGUUUCCUUGUCAGCAGCCCCUUAUGCACAGUGGAACUAUGCUGUGAGAGACUUCAAGAGUCAGUCCAGGCCACUAUCCUGAGUGCAGUAGUUAAAGCCCACGAAGGGUCAUCUCCUUUUCCACACGGCGGAAGAAUUGUCUGCUCUUCACUACCUUGUCAUGGUUAUGAGGAUAUCAUUGGGCUCCCAUCUACGGAAGUUGUGCUGCUUGAGUCACAAAAUGGAAGAAUGCCAAUGGCUAGAAAUGGUCACCUUGAUCUGAUAAGGCAUGUGGUUUCUGUGGAAUUAAGAGGAAAGUUGAAAUUUAUCAUAAAGACCUAUUCACCUUCACACCCUGCUGAGAUGGCUACUAUUGAUGUCCUCUUCACACCCGAAAAAUGCAACAUCAGUAAAAAAACAUGUAACCUUGAUGGUGGCUCUGAGGUGGAGAUUACUGUUGCUUGGUCCUUCCUUCCUUCGAUGCUAUCUUGA
This 1551-nucleotide ribosomal RNA is filed under the name Triticum aestivum (bread wheat). Its description in RNAcentral is "partial small subunit ribosomal RNA". The record is from RNAcentral. Lineage: Eukaryota; Viridiplantae; Streptophyta; Magnoliopsida; Poales; Poaceae.